RNAcentral lists this ribosomal RNA (93 nucleotides) under Bacillota bacterium. Its description in RNAcentral is "partial 16S ribosomal RNA". It matches the Rfam family "Bacterial small subunit ribosomal RNA", at positions 1 to 102 of the family's 1533-position model. The record is from RNAcentral. Lineage: Bacteria; Bacillati; Bacillota.
UGAUUCGAGAGUUUGAUCCUGGCUCAGGACGAACGCUGGCGGCGUGCCUAAUACAUGCAAGUCGCACGGACACCUUCGGGUGUCAGUGGCGGA